This is a small nucleolar RNA of Plasmodium knowlesi strain H, 102 nucleotides long. RefSeq annotates it as small nucleolar RNA snoR26. The record is from RefSeq and is a predicted model, not a curated record. The transcript has a single exon. NCBI's taxonomy places the organism in Eukaryota, Apicomplexa, Aconoidasida, Haemosporida, Plasmodiidae.
GAGAGAUGUUUUAUUCGAGGCUAAAUUGAAAAAAAACAAAAAUGCCACUGAUAAAACGAGUUACGCAUUUUCCGCAAGUUGCUAACUCACCUGACUUUGGCA